AUGAGUGUCUGUGUGUAUGUGUGUGGUGGUGGUGGUGGUGGUGUGUGUGUAUGUGUGUGUGGCUCAUCCUAUUUAAUUUUGCUUUUCAUUGGUGCCUAAUCUAUUCUGGACUUUUUUCCAUCAAGUUGUGAUUGUGAGUACAGAAAGAAGUCCUGUCAGGCUCUGCUCCGACUGCCUGUGAGGGGAUAGGAUGCCUGCUGUUUAACGGGACAGAGCUGCCAAAAUCUUGACGGCUUGGCACCUUGAAAGAGGCAACAACGCACAUUGUUUAUUUCAACAUUCCUAAACUGUACAUAUGCUCUCUCGAUUCAGAGUUGGGAUCAUCAGGUUUCUCCUCUCCUACCCCCUCAGCCAUUUUUGGUCUGCUUCUUUUAUACUGCUAUGAACAGUAGAAAGAUUACAUUGAGAAUGCUUUUCUAGGUUUCCUGAGUUCUUUCAAGGGUUGCCUCCUGGUUUUCCCGCACCAUCUUAUUUGGGCCAGUGGAUUAAUUAGUGACUAGGACAACACUUCUGUCAGACGAUCAGGAUUCAUCAUGGGUCUGCCUCCAGUCACACUCAGUACCUAGGUACUGCAGUCACAGCAGGUUCUGCUUGGGCCACUUACCCAAAUGCACAGUGAAAGGGAUGAGUAGUGGAGAAAGCAGAGAGGGGAUUUAUUCAACAUGCUACAUUAAGAAAAAUAUGAAUGAAAUAGUCCAGGGAUCUCGGGUCUGUCUUUGGGCCACUGGCAAAACAGUUAAACACAAAUAGAAUAAAGAGGUUUGCAUUCCAUAGCAGCCCUGGUUAAGAAUGAGAACUCCUGAAAAGAGGCUGUGUCGACAGAGACUGACUGAUUAGAAUCUCAGGCCUGUGGAGAGAUUGGAAUGUUACAGCUACAGGGGCUAAUUACCUUAUCGUGAGCUAGUCUAGCCCCUAGAGCGUCCAUUCCUUGCCCGCCUCUGCGUCUAGAGUAACAUCUUCUAACUGACAGAUAGAAACCUUUUGGAAUCUACCAAUUUAGCAAACCACUCAAUAGCUUCUAUAAACCCCAAAGCUAAGACAGCUUUUGCAUAGGAAUCUAGAAUGUGGGGUUACUGAAGUCUGUAUUCUUGGGCUAUGGUCAUUCAGAAUGGCUCCAGAACAAACUAUCUCCCAUUCUUUAAAUUGAGAGCUGUGGUUUUUAUGUCAACAUGGUCAAGAUGUAGUAUUGCUGCUGAUCAAUGACCAGUGAUUAUCUUCUCAAAUCUGGUCCUGCAGCCUGGUCCCAUAGGUUGUUUUUUAGUCUAUUUUACUAUUUUUUAAUCUUCCUGACAAUUUUAUACAUGCUUAUAUUUUGAUCAUAUUCACCUGCUAUCCUUCUCCUCCUCCUACUGAGUACUUUAUUCCCGAGUAGUCUCCCUUCUCCUUUCAUUCUCUCUCUCUCUCUCUCUGUGUGUGUGUGUGUGUGUGUCUAUGUGUGUGUGUGCGAGAGACAGAGACAGAGACAGAGACCUACAGACAGACAGACAGACAGAGACAGACAGAGGGGAUUGGAAUUUUGAAUUUUGAUUUGGAUUGCUUGUGUGAACAUGGGUGAGAAACUUUUUACUAGAGCAGUGCCUACACCAGCAAACACUACUUGCCAAAAACUACCCAGGGAAGAAUAGAACUUCAUUAACUCCUCCCCAUGAUAGAUAGACUCCUGUUUUUCUUUAUUAUUAUUAUUAUUAUUAUUAUUAUUAUUAUUAUAUUGUUUGAAAAUCCCGUAUGUGCAUAGAAAGUAUUUUGACCAAAUCCAUCCCCCAUUCCCCUCUUCUAUAAUUUCUCCCCUGGGCCCCAACAAUGCGUCCUCCUCAAUUUCAUGUGCCCACUGAACCAACUUAACACUGCCUUUAUGUUCACAGGUAUAGGAGCAUCUGCUACGGGUGGGUAGCCUCUCAUGAGGCUGAAUGCCUGAAGAACACUGACUCUCCUCCCAGUAGCCAAUAAUAGUUCCUCAGCUCCAGGUGACACUUCAUGAGCCCCUCCCUCCCAUCCAUGCAGGGAUUUUGUGUGGCUUGAUCUUGAGGAGGUCUUAAGCAUGCAGUCACAGCCUCUCCAAUGAAGACCCACCUGAUAGCAAUCCCUGAACACUCUGGAAGGAAAAUGGACCACACCUCCUCUGCUACUCUGGAUCCCACUCUGUCCGUUUCAACUGACACUCCGGCCAGGGCUUCCGGUACUGACUUCAAUCAAGUUGAGGACUUCAACCUACAUCUUCAAUUAAGCAAAUCCCAUCUAACAUGGACUGAAUAUAAUUCAUUCGAGACUUUCGCUAUACUAACAUUUUCUUCCUACAGGACCCCACAAGGCUAUUGCCGUCCCAUUUCAGCAGGAAGUAACUUGGAGAAUGCUAGGCCCCCAUCCCCCAUUAUUGUCACUAAGGGUAAUGUACACCUAGUCAGGGAUAGUUUCCUAUUGUUCAUGGUUGGAAUUGGAAGGUGUUCAGGCUUAGACACCUCUUUCAGAUGACUUUAAGCUUUAGUUAUAUAGACAUAGUUAGGAUGUGACAUAAGCAGAUUAUUGUAUCUUCUUAUAUUUCACCUUUAUGAUUGUUAAUUUUGGAUACUUCACACUGUUAAGUUUUAAUUCUCUUUUAGACUAAAAGGGGAAUUGUAGGGAGACAAAGUACCAUGCCUCCUAAGGGUUGGCUCCAGGUGUGCCCAACCACACAGGGUGUGGUCAAGGUGAUGUCAGGGUGACGUGAGAAAGGUUUAAAGGGAUAGCCAAGGCAUAUGGUAGCUCUCUUUUCUCUGCUGCUUCGGCUCGCUCUGGUUUCCUGUCAGUUAGCAUUUACUUAUUAAAGAUAUCCUGACCAUUA
Molecule: non-coding RNA, 2818 nt
Organism: Cricetulus griseus (Chinese hamster)
Lineage: Eukaryota; Metazoa; Chordata; Mammalia; Rodentia; Cricetidae
Source: RefSeq, a predicted model, not a curated record